This is a long non-coding RNA of Astatotilapia calliptera (eastern happy), 2531 nucleotides long. The record is from Ensembl. Lineage: Eukaryota; Metazoa; Chordata; Actinopteri; Cichliformes; Cichlidae.
UUCUGACCGAAGAAGAAGUCAGACAGACUUAGAUGUCAGCGAAUUUCAUCACAAUGAAGGCGAUUUAAACUAAUAGAACUGCACAAGCACCAUAGAGGUCAAGGAAAAGUGCAUACGAGAAUUGCUAAGGACUCAGGAAAAGAGAAGAGUUGUGCGUUGAGGUUUGGAACUAUCUUACUCUAGUCUAUCCCUAUAAAUGUGCUGCCUUAUGUUUUGAAAAUGCAAUGUGCAGAAGAUGAACUGCAAGACCAAAGGUCUCUAAACCGGAGGUCUUGUAAGGUCAUGCAACGAGAACAGCCUGUGAAAAAUAUCCUUCAUUAUGAACGGUGGAAUUUUAGGGGCCAGAUUUAUUAAAUACUAACUCUGCCUCUUGAUUGACUGAAGAGGCUCAUUGUCACUUUAUGACUGACAGUUAUGAACAGGAGUAUUUUUACAGCUGAACUUGUGUCGUAUAUGUUUUUAAGAGUUUCAUUUCACAAGAAGAAUAAUUCAAUAUCUUGUUUUAUUGCCAAACGUUUGGCUCUGUCCUAAUAAUCUUAACUCAGUCCUCACACCAAACAUUUAGAUCAUCUUAUUGUUCCUCAGUAAUGCUGGGAGUUUCAUAAAACAGAGCAGAAUGAACUGAAUGAGCUAGGCUCUCAGCAGUGAGCUAGGCUGUUGUUCAAUUUAUACAUUUCUUCCUUCAGGUCAGGUUGCAGCAACUCCACUGUCUGCACGACCCGUCAUAGAUGAAUCCUCUCACCGUCCUUCUCAUUUUGUCUCUUAAUUCGGCAUCUACAGGCUUAAAAGAGAUAGAUGUGCAGGCAGACAGGAACGCCCAGCUGGAGUGUCAGGGUCCUAAAAAAGCCAAACUUGUCCUGUUAGAGUGGAAAAGACUUGAUCUGUUGUCGGAUGGAUACGUCUUCUUCUACCGAGAUGGUCAUCUUCAUAAAACCUUCCAGCAUCCAACUUUUAGAGAUCGAGUGGAACUGAGAGAUCCGCAGAUGAAAAAUGGGAACAUGUCCAUCAUUUUGUCCAACACCACAAUUAAAGACACUGGAACGUAUGAGUGUCGUAUCAUCGCACAAAACACAAGAGACAGUAGCAGCUCUGCCUUUGAGAUCAAGCAUGAAAUCAAGCUGACAGUUGUUCCUCCAGGUCGGGCACAAGAGGUCACCGUACUUAGAGAUGAGGAGAAUGGAGGUAUGGACGUUGGGAACAAGGAUGAAAGAGAUGGAGGAUUUAUUGGACUAACAGGUGGUCUGUUAGCUUUGGUGGUGAUUCUUGUUGUUUUGUUUUCUUACAAUGUGUUCUUUUCCUCCUGUUGGAAAAGAAAGUUCAUAAAGCACAACAGAUGUGUUUUUGGGAAGAUAUGACAAAACGGUCGCAAAAGUGACAAACUAACAGCAAUUGGUUAAUUGCCAACAUGCAUUUAAAAUAUUAUAUGAAUCAUGUCAUUAAAACACACAUUGCGUGCAUCUUCUGUUUUCUUCUAAGCAUGUGCAGUCGUUUGCAUUUUUUGUUCCAUCACAGUAUUGUUACCCCAACACAAGCCCGUGGGGAGUAGGGUUGCUGAGGUUUGCUGCUCCAACCCUUGUCGCAAAAACAAAUGUCUUCAGAAAUGUUUUAUUUAGGAAGUAGAAUUAAUUAAUGAAACAAGUAAAAAAGGUUUUUCUCCCCCUGUAAAGCAUUAUAGUCAAAUAACAUGCAUACUAGAUACCAGUACAAGUGGUGUAAUUUACAAAAAGAGCUAACAGACAACAGCUGUCACCAGCUAAAUGCUCUCCCUAACAUUUUGAACACUUUGGACAUCACUGCUCCUCCUGAGGAAAUUUAUCACCAAAACUUAAAGUCACAUUUAGAGUAUUAAUAUCACACACUCAGACAAAGGUUACAUUUUAGCUUAUUAUGAGAUGUCAUCACAAAGUUUAACAUUAUACUUAAGCAAUAAUUUCACCUUCCCACUUUUGUUUCCAAAGGGUUCUUGACUAUGUGUGUAAAUUUGACUUUUGGCUGAGUGAAAUAUCCAUAUAUGACUUGGUUCUGUUACAUUUUGGCUCUUUAUGUGAGCACCGGGAUCUGUAACUGGGGCUACACUGACUAGAGUAGUACACCAAUCCAGUGUUGAGUAGCACAGAGCUGUUGCCUUAAAUAGUGGCAGGAAAAUGCAGGAACACGGGUUACUUGCAGGUGCGUAGGUCAAAUGCGGGGACCUCUAAUAAGUUCUACCCAGUUGGAGAGGAGUGGAAGAGAGAGAGAGAGAGAGAGAGCAACAUAACAAAAACCCAGCUGACAUCAAGACAUCUGCCCGUUCAUCACUGGGAUGAGAAAGUGUUGCAGCUCUCAGUCUGACAAAACCUGCAAAUAUACACAUUGUUCAAAUGACUUGAUAUCUUCCACAAAAGAUAUGUUUGACAUGGACCAACAACAGUUAAAAUACUGGAAAUCACUUUUUGGCAAUUUGAUAAAUAAAUGAAUUUUUGGGAAAACUGUGAACUAUGAGAUUUAUUUUAACACAGUUACCUGCUUUUUUAAAAUAAUUUUAUUACUGG